RNAcentral lists this ribosomal RNA (425 nucleotides) under uncultured bacterium. RNAcentral's name for it is "bacterial SSU rRNA". It matches the Rfam family "Bacterial small subunit ribosomal RNA", at positions 354 to 796 of the family's 1533-position model. The record is from RNAcentral.
GUUAGGAAUAUUGGACAAUGGGCGCAAGCCUGAUCCAGCCAUGCCGCGUGAACGAUGAAGGCCUUCGGGUUGUAAAGUUCUUUAGCCGAUGAUUAUAAUGACUGUAGUCGGAAAAUAAGCCCCGGCUAACUUCGUGCCAGCAGCCGCGGUAAUACGAAGGGGGCGAGCGUUAUUCGGAAUCACUGGGCGUAAAGCGUGCGUAGGCGGUCUCGUAAGUUAGGAGUGAAAGCCCAGGGCUCAACCUUGGAAUUGCUCUUAAAACUGCAAGGCUAGAAUCUCGGAGAGGAUAGCGGAAUUUCCAGUGUAGCAGUGAAAUGCGUAGAUAUUGGAAGGAACACCAGUGGCGUAAGCGGCUAUCUGGACGAGUAUUGACGCUGAGGCACGAAAGCGUGGGGAUCAAACAGGAUUAGAAACCCGAGUAGUCC